This 505-nucleotide ribosomal RNA is filed under the name uncultured bacterium. RNAcentral describes it as "bacterial SSU rRNA". It matches the Rfam family "Bacterial small subunit ribosomal RNA", at positions 501 to 1008 of the family's 1533-position model. The record is from RNAcentral.
CUACGUGCCAGCAGCCGCGGUAAUACGGAAGGUCCAGGCGUUAUCCGGAUUUAUUGGGUUUAAAGGGAGCGUAGGCUGGAGAUUAAGUGUGUUGUGAAAUGUAGACGCUCAACGUUUGAAUUGCAGCGCAUACUGGUUUCCUUGAGUACGCACAACGUUGGCGGAAUUCGUCGUGUAGCGGUGAAAUGCUUAGAUAUGACGAAGAACUCCGAUUGCGAAGGCAGCUGACGGGAGCGCAACUGACGCUUAAGCUCGAAGGUGCGGGUAUCAAACAGGAUUAGAUACCCUGGUAGUCCGCACAGUAAACGAUGGAUGCCCGCUGUUGGUACCUGGUAUCAGCGGCUAAGCGAAAGCAUUAAGCAUCCCACCUGGGGAGUACGCCGGCAACGGUGAAACUCAAAGGAAUUGACGGGGGCCCGCACAAGCGGAGGAACAUGUGGUUUAAUUCGAUGAUACGCGAGGAACCUUACCCGGGCUUGAAUUGCAGAGGAAGGAUUUAGAGAUA